Molecule: small nucleolar RNA, 91 nt
Organism: Suricata suricatta (meerkat)
Lineage: Eukaryota; Metazoa; Chordata; Mammalia; Carnivora; Herpestidae
Gene: SNORD116
Rfam family: Small nucleolar RNA SNORD116
About the family: HBII-85 is a member of the C/D class of snoRNAs, which contain the C (UGAUGA) and D (CUGA) box motifs. HBII-85 is encoded in a tandemly repeated array with another C/D snoRNA, HBII-52, in the Prader-Willi syndrome (PWS) region of chromosome 15. Unlike most other snoRNAs, HBII-85 is expressed prevalently in the brain (but is absent in PWS patients) and lacks any significant complementarity with ribosomal RNA.
Source: Ensembl
GUAUGAUGAGCUACCUCAAUAGUAUUAUUUGGAAAAGCUGAAAAAAAUGAGUGAGAACUCUCUACAGUCACUCUCAUCCAUCCUGAGGUCC